This 584-nucleotide ribosomal RNA is filed under the name uncultured bacterium. RNAcentral describes it as "bacterial SSU rRNA". It matches the Rfam family "Bacterial small subunit ribosomal RNA", at positions 338 to 916 of the family's 1533-position model. The record is from RNAcentral.
CCUACGGGAGGCAGCAGUGGGGAAUUUUGGACAAUGGGCGCAAGCCUGAUCCAGCAAUGCCGCGUGAGUGAAGAAGGCCUUCGGGUUGUAAAGCUCUUUUGUCAGGGAAGAAACGGUGGGGGCUAAUAUCUCCUACUAAUGACGGUACCUGAAGAAUAAGCACCGGCUAACUACGUGCCAGCAGCCGCGGUAAUACGUAGGGUGCAAGCGUUAAUCGGAAUUACUGGGCGUAAAGCGUGCGCAGGCGGUUUUGUAAGUCUGUCGUGAAAGCCCCGGGCUCAACCUGGGAAUUGCGAUGGAGACUGCAAGGCUUGAAUCUGGCAGAGGGGGGUAGAAUUCCACGUGUAGCAGUGAAAUGCGUAGAGAUGUGGAGGAACACCGAUGGCGAAGGCAGCCCCCUGGGUCAAGAUUGACGCUCAUGCACGAAAGCGUGGGGAGCAAACAGGAUUAGAUACCCUGGUAGUCCACGCCCUAAACGAUGUCUACUAGUUGUCGGGUUUUAAUUAACUUGGUAACGCAGCUAACGCGUGAAGUAGACCGCCUGGGGAGUACGGUCGCAAGAUUAAAACUCAAAGGAUUGACGG